CUUAGAGUUUGAUCCUGGCUCAGGAUGAUCGCUGGCGGUAUGCUUAACACAUGCAAGUCGAACGGUGUCUUCGGACAUAGUGGCGGACGGGUGAGUAACGCGUGAGAAUCUAGCUUCAGGUCUGGGACAACCACUGGAAACGGUGGCUAAUACCGGAUGUGCCGGAAGGUGAAAGGCUUGCUGCCUGAAGAUGAGCUCGCGUCCGACUAGCUAGUAGGUGGGGUAAGAGCCUACCUAGGCGACGAUCGGUAGCUGGUCUGAGAGGAUGACCAGCCACACUGGGACUGAGACACGGCCCAGACUCCUACGGGAGGCAGCAGUGGGGAAUUUUCCGCAAUGGGCGAAAGCCUGACGGAGCAAUACCGCGUGAGGGAGGAAGGCUCUUGGGUUGUAAACCUCUUUUCUCAGGGAAGAACACAAUGACGGUACCUGAGGAAUCAGCAUCGGCUAACUCCGUGCCAGCAGCCGCGGUAAUACGGAGGAUGCAAGCGUUAUCCGGAAUGAUUGGGCGUAAAGCGUCCGCAGGUGGCUGUGUAAGUCUGCUGUCAAAGAGCAAAGCUCAACUUUGUAAAGGCAGUGGAAACUACACGGCUAGAGUGCGUUCGGGGCAGAGGGAAUUCCUGGUGUAGCGGUGAAAUGCGUAGAGAUCAGGAAGAACACCGGUGGCGAAGGCGCUCUGCUAGGCCGCAACUGACACUGAGGGACGAAAGCUAGGGGAGCGAAUGGGAUUAGAUACCCCAGUAGUCCUAGCUGUAAACGAUGG
RNAcentral lists this ribosomal RNA (763 nucleotides) under uncultured bacterium. RNAcentral describes it as "bacterial SSU rRNA". It matches the Rfam family "Bacterial small subunit ribosomal RNA", at positions 1 to 812 of the family's 1533-position model. The record is from RNAcentral.